Non-coding RNA from Ictidomys tridecemlineatus (thirteen-lined ground squirrel), 410 nucleotides. The record is from RefSeq and is a predicted model, not a curated record. NCBI's taxonomy places the organism in Eukaryota, Metazoa, Chordata, Mammalia, Rodentia, Sciuridae.
AUGUGGCGCCUCCCCCGCCGGCCUCCAGGCGCUCGGCUCCGCCCGCUGGACCAGACCCUCUCACAGACCCCUCCCCCGGCUCCGCCCUCUGGGGAGGAGCCCUCGGGCGCUCGACAGUCACGCCCACUAGGGGCGGGGUCCACGUGGAAGGAGGGGCCUAGGAGGGAUGUCAAGAAAACAUAUUCAAGCACUAAUCCCAGAAGAAAUUGAGAGUCUGUUGGAUGAAUGUUCUGAAGACAAGAAUAUUGAAGCAGCUGGCAUAAUUAUCCCACCAGACAUAAAAAAUAUAACGGAUAAUGGUAAAACCGACGACAAAUCCAAUGACUCAAUAGUGAAAGAUGUUUCAGGUCCUCUGGAAUUACAUACUGAAACAUCUAACCAAAAUGCAGAAAUAGAAAGUAUGAAUGAGA